Stylophora pistillata is the source of this 530-nucleotide long non-coding RNA. Lineage: Eukaryota; Metazoa; Cnidaria; Anthozoa; Scleractinia; Pocilloporidae. The record is from RefSeq and is a predicted model, not a curated record.
AAAAGAGAAAAUUCGAAGAGGCUGGCACCAGCUUACAGCUUGAAAUACGAUCGCCAAGAGUGUCCUUGUUGUCUGAAAUCCGCGCACAGUAAACUGUUGAAGGUGAAACUCCGUGAGAGAGAAAAGAUAACCAGGAUAACAGCAGUGACACCACAAUCAAGGAGAGAGAUCUGUUGGGCAGUUGGAUGUGUUGGUGGAAACUGAUUGGUGAGUUUUUUCAUGAUACUGUUGGCAGUAAAAUUCAAGUGUUGUUUAUCAGUUGUUAUCAUUAAUCAGUCAAUCUGUCGGUAAAGUAACAGUCGUUCAGCUCAAAAACCUUUGCCAACAAGUUCACAUAGAUUUUUCAUUAGAUCCUGUAUUUGCCAAGGGAAGCUACUGUUCAUGUGUCACUUCACUACAUCGGUAGCUUCUGGAGAAAUAUUAUGCCUAUGUACCCUUUGAUGAAGCUUUGUAAAAUAUUGAAUACCCUUAGUGAGAGUGGUUAUUUCAAAAUAAUACUACUGAUAAAAACACUACCAAUCUCAAUUGUC